UUGAGAGCGAAUGCACGAGAUGAUUGCGCUGUUAUUUCAGUAUGACAUCCCGUGCAGACCAGAACGUCCUACGAAUGUGCUGCCUAUGGUGGACCUGGUGGAUGGAAUGAUGCUGUUGAACAUCAAUUGCUUUCUUCAGAGCUCACACAAUUUCUGUCAAUUGUGCAGCACUCGUCGUUCGCAGCUCAGGGUCAGCAUUGGUGGUGCCUCAUGA
This 214-nucleotide long non-coding RNA is filed under the name Oryza sativa Indica Group (long-grained rice). Its description in RNAcentral is "lncRNA OsMH63_10G015860". Lineage: Eukaryota; Viridiplantae; Streptophyta; Magnoliopsida; Poales; Poaceae. The record is from RNAcentral.